UUUCCGCCCUAUCAACCUUUGAAGGGUAGGAUAGGGCCUUCCAAUGUUUCAACGGGUAACGGAGAAUAGGGUUUCGAUCCGGGAGAAGGGAGCCUGAGAAAACGGCUACCACAUCCAAGGAAAGGCAGCAGGCGCGCAAAUUCCCAAUCCCUGACACGGGGAGGUAGUGACAAUAAAUAAUGAUACCGGGCUCUAUGAGUCUUGUAAUUGGAAUGAGUACAAUCUAAAUCCC
RNAcentral lists this ribosomal RNA (232 nucleotides) under uncultured eukaryote. RNAcentral's name for it is "partial 18S ribosomal RNA". It matches the Rfam family "Eukaryotic small subunit ribosomal RNA", at positions 304 to 533 of the family's 1831-position model. The record is from RNAcentral.